CGAGUGUGGUGCUAUACACCACUAUGUCGUCCAAGUACACGACUACGAAGCGGUCGAGAAAUGGUUGGAGUACCUUGUUCAUAAGCGUGCAAAAUGUGGCGGGUGCAUUAGUAAGUCCGGAAGGCAUCACAAGGAACUCGAAAGACCCAUAUCUUGUAGUGCAUGCCGUCUUUGGUUCAUCUCCUUCGGCGAUGCGCACUUGGUAGUACCCGGAGCGUAAGUCGAGUUUGGUGAAGUACCGCGCCUUUCCAAGCUGGUCGAACAAGUCCGUGAUCAGUGGAAUAGGAUACUUGUUCUUGAUGGUGAUCUUGUUGAGCGCUCUAUAGUCGAUGCACAUCCGCAGCGAUCCAUCUUUCUUCUUUUGAAAUAGGACUGGUGCACCGAAUGGGGCCUUUGAGGGACGGAUGUAUCCCGCAUCCAACAAAUCUUUGAGUUAUCUUCGCAACUCUUCAAGUUCGGGGGGCGCCAUGCCGUAGGGUGCCAAGGCUGGUGGCUUUGCGCCUUGUUCCAGCUCGAUGGCAUGAUCUACCUCUCGUCGAGGUGGGAGCUUCUUCGGAAGUUUGGCCGGCAUCACAUCCUUGUACUUAUUAAGGAUGGCUUGAAUUUGUGGAGGGACUUGGUUUGGCGAUAUUCCGCUAUCUCCUUCUUCGUUCAGUUCUCGAAUGGAGACCAAGAAGCUUGGGUCCUUCUUGAACGCCUUCUUGAAUUGCAUGGCGGAGAGGGUCUGUUCCCCGGGCUUGCCUCUCUCCACGGGUACCAUGCAUGACUUGCUCCCGUCGAGUAUGCUUAGGGAGUUGGUAGCAGGCAACGGGAAGGCAUGGGUUUUGUCGAAGAAUUCCAUGCCAAGGACCAUCUUGAAGUCGUCCAUGGGUACAAUAGAGAAGAGAGUAUGCUUAGGGAGUUGGUAGCAGGCAGCGGGAAGGCAUGGGUUUGGUCGAAGAAUUCCAUGCUAUGGACCAUCUUGAAGUCGUCCAUGGGCACAAUAGAGAAGUCAAGCUUUCCGCUCCACGUUCCAAGUGUUAACUGCAC
RNAcentral lists this long non-coding RNA (1029 nucleotides) under Nicotiana benthamiana. Its description in RNAcentral is "long non-coding RNA (NBEN_LNC015267)". Lineage: Eukaryota; Viridiplantae; Streptophyta; Magnoliopsida; Solanales; Solanaceae. The record is from RNAcentral.